CAAUAGCGUAUAUUAAAGUUGUUGCAGUUAAAAAGCUCGUAGUUGGAUUUCUGGUCGGAAGCUCCUGUCCUCUGAUGAGCGUACAAGUGCGUCCUACCAUCCUUCUGUUAACCUUUAAGGCUUUCGCGGCUUUCUAGGGGCUCAGAUAUUUUACCUUGAGAAAAUUAGAGUGUUUCAGGCAGGCUAGCGCCGGAAUACAUUAGCAUGGAAUAAUGGAAUAGGACUUUUGCCUCUUCUGUUGGUCAUGAGGCUCGAGUAAUGAUUAAUAGGGAUAGUUGGGGGCAUUAGUACCUAACUGUCAGAGGUGAAAUUCUCGGAUUUGUUAAAGACUAACUUAUGCGAAAGCAUUUGCCAAGGAUGUUUUCAUUAA
RNAcentral lists this ribosomal RNA (370 nucleotides) under uncultured eukaryote. Its description in RNAcentral is "partial 18S ribosomal RNA". It matches the Rfam family "Eukaryotic small subunit ribosomal RNA", at positions 592 to 976 of the family's 1831-position model. The record is from RNAcentral.